CGAACGCUGGCGGCAUGCCUAACACAUGCAAGUCGAACGAGAAAAUACCUUCGGGUAUGAGUAGAGUGGCGCACGGGUGAGUAACGCGUGGGAACCUACCGAGCAGUGGGGAAUAACCUUUGGAAACGAAGGCUAAUACCGCAUACGCCCUUCGGGGGAAAGAUUUAUCGCUGUUUGAUGGUCCCGCGUCUGAUUAGCUAGUUGGUAAGGUAAUGGCUUACCAAGGCGACGAUCAGUAGCUGGUCUGAGAGGAUGAUCAGCCACACUGGAACUGAGACACGGUCCAGACUCCUACGGGAGGCAGCAGUGGGGAAUAUUGGACAAUGGACGAAAGUCUGAUCCAGCAAUGCCGCGUGAGUGAAGAAGGCCCUAGGGUUGUAAAACUCUUUCAGAUGUGAAGAUGAUGACGGUAACAUCAGAAGAAGCCCCGGCUAACUUC
Molecule: ribosomal RNA, 439 nt
Filed under: uncultured bacterium
Lineage: Bacteria
Description: bacterial SSU rRNA
Rfam family: Bacterial small subunit ribosomal RNA
Source: RNAcentral